RNAcentral lists this long non-coding RNA (328 nucleotides) under Sorghum bicolor (sorghum). RNAcentral's name for it is "long non-coding RNA (SBIC_LNC006651)". Lineage: Eukaryota; Viridiplantae; Streptophyta; Magnoliopsida; Poales; Poaceae. The record is from RNAcentral.
GCGCCGUUGCUGGGGAACGGUAGCUGUGCUAGUUUCGAACCAAGUCGUCCGUGUAUCCUUUUUCUUUUUCUUUUUUACCACACUCACCUUAUCAUUUUCACCAUACCACAUGGAUUUCACUCUAAGCAUUAGUGAGCAUGGAAUUUAUUUCAUAGCCACUUCAUUUACUCCAUGCUCAUAUGCAACAUCUUCACAAUCCAUUGGUCUCUCCAACAUCACCACAUUCGAGAUCUCCAACCCCCUCUUCCUUUCUAUUCAUAAAAACUUUAAAAGGGCGGUUGUCGAUGCAUAUGUAUAUAAUAAAUUUUGCAGAUCUCGUUGAGUUCAU